RNAcentral lists this unclassified non-coding RNA (379 nucleotides) under uncultured Paenibacillaceae bacterium. Its description in RNAcentral is "contains 16S-23S intergenic spacer region". Lineage: Bacteria; Bacillati; Bacillota; Bacilli; Caryophanales; Paenibacillaceae. The record is from RNAcentral.
UCCGGUUUGUCACCGGCAGUCAGCCUAGAGUGCCCGCCAUGACGCGCUGGCAACUAAGCUCAAGGGUUGCGCUCGUUGCGGGACUUAACCCAACAUCUCACGACACGAGCUGACGACAACCAUGCACCACCUGUCUCCCCUGUCCCGAAGGAAAGGCGCAUCUCUGCACCGGUCAGGGGGAUGUCAAGACCUGGUAAGGUUCUUCGCGUUGCUUCGAAUUAAACCACAUACUCCACUGCUUGUGCGGGUCCCCGUCAAUUCCUUUGAGUUUCAGUCUUGCGACCGUACUCCCCAGGCGGCAUGCUUACUGUGUUAACUUCGGCACCAAGGGCAUCGAAACCCCUAACACCUAGCAUGCAUCGUUUACGGCGUGGACUAC